This 290-nucleotide small nuclear RNA is filed under the name Neogale vison (American mink). RNAcentral's name for it is "Neovison vison (American mink) 7SK RNA (ENSNVIG00000011155.1)". It matches the Rfam family "7SK RNA". Rfam says of the family: 7SK was discovered as an abundant small nuclear RNA in the mid-70s but a possible function has only recently been suggested. The record is from RNAcentral. Lineage: Eukaryota; Metazoa; Chordata; Mammalia; Carnivora; Mustelidae.
GGAUGUGAGGGCGAUCUGGCUGCGACAUCUGUCACCCCAUUGAUCGCCGGGGUUGAUUCGGCUGAUCUGGCUGGCUAGGCGGGUGUCCCCUCCCUUCCUCCCUCACGGCUCCAUGUGCGUCCCUCCUGAAGCUGCGCGCUCGGUCAGAGGACGACCUUCCCCGAUAGAGGAGAGGACCGUUCUUCAGUCAAGGGUAUACGAGUAGCUGCGCUUCCCUGCUAGAACCUCCAAACAAGCUCUCAAGGUCCAUUUGUAGGAGAACGUAGGGUGGUCAAACUUCNNNNNNNNNN